RNAcentral lists this ribosomal RNA (247 nucleotides) under uncultured bacterium. Its description in RNAcentral is "partial 16S ribosomal RNA". It matches the Rfam family "Bacterial small subunit ribosomal RNA", at positions 434 to 673 of the family's 1533-position model. The record is from RNAcentral.
GUCGGGAGUUAGGAAAUGCAAGGAUGUUAGUAGCAUCUUUGCUUGACUAAGGCUCCGGAGGAAGCCACGGCUAACUCUGUGCCAGCAGCCGCGGUAAUACAGAGGCGGCAAGCGUUGUUCGGAAUUAUUGGGCGUAAAGAGCACGUAGGCGGCCGUGUAAGUCGGUUGUGAAAGCCUUCCGCUCAACGGGAGAACGGCAUCCGAUACUGCAUGGCUCGAGUGCGGGAGGGGAGAGUGGAACUUCUGG